CUUAAGACGCCCAGCAUCCCCUUAAAUCCUCUCAUCACUCUUCAGCAAUCGAAAUCAACGAAAACAUCACGAUGAGCUUUUCAGCGAUUCUACCUCUCCUUCUUCUUCUUCUUCUUCUUCUUCUUCAUCCAGGAUAUGCUCUGAUCUCAGUGACAUCGUUUGGACUCGGGGAACCCGGCACUUUGACGUGUCCGUUGCCUGAUUUUGAGUACAGCAACACUCGAGUGAAGUGGUACAAGCAGAGCGUCGGUGACACGCUUGUGCUGAUCACUUCUCUGAUGAAAGGGGCUGCAAAUUCCAAUUUUGAAAAAUCGUUUCCUUCGUACCGAUUUGAGGUGAACUUCACUGCGACCAUGUGCUCUCUGACCAUUCUGAAGACGGUGCCGGAGGACGAGGCGGUGUACCACUGUGCCAUCUCUACCUGGAACAAGGAUCAUUGGAGUGGGACGUAUUUGUCUAUAAAAGGUAAAGCAU
This is a non-coding RNA of Labrus bergylta (ballan wrasse), 474 nucleotides long. The record is from the annotation of a RefSeq genome assembly. NCBI's taxonomy places the organism in Eukaryota, Metazoa, Chordata, Actinopteri, Labriformes, Labridae.